UACAGAGGGGGCCAGCGUUAUUCGGAAUUAUUGGGCGUAAAGGGCGCGUAGGCGGCCAUGCGUGUCUCCUGUCGAAAUCCCUCGGCUCAACCGAGGACGUGCGGAAGAAACUGCAAGGCUCGAGUCCGGAAAGAGGGGGGGCGGAAUUCCCAGUGUAGCGGUGAAAUGCGUAGAUAUUGGGAGGAACACCAGUGGCGAAGGCGGUCCCCUGGGCCGAUACUGACGCGUGAGGAGCGAAAGCGUGGGGAGCGAACAGGA
RNAcentral lists this ribosomal RNA (258 nucleotides) under uncultured bacterium. RNAcentral's name for it is "partial 16S ribosomal RNA". It matches the Rfam family "Bacterial small subunit ribosomal RNA", at positions 524 to 777 of the family's 1533-position model. The record is from RNAcentral.